AGUAUGAGGCUGCGUGCUAUUGUGGGCGGUAGUCGGCAAUAGCACGGCCGUGUCACGGAUCCGGGUCCGGGGCGUGACACUAUUGGUCUGUCAGGAUCUUCUCUCGAUCUAUUACACUGUUGAUACCUCUGGUGUCUCGGUAACUGGCUUUUUUUUUCUUCUUUUUUUUGGUUUCUGUUUUUUUUAACUUUUGCAGGGAGGAAGUGAGGGAACACUGAACUGAAUAUGGGUCAUGUGCUAGUUUUCUGCAAUGGAAUUGGAUUUUGAAAGAAGGUCUGGGAUUUCAGCAAAAAGAAGGUAUGGGAUUUUUUUUGUCCUCGUGAGAGGGGAGCUGGGAGACACCAAGUUCCGUCCAAUCAGUCAUAUGGACAAAAAAUAAUGUGAUGUGAAAUUUGGCUUGUAGACCGACUUAGUCAGUCAGGGGUCAUCUGUUCUGACUGGAGGUCAAUUGCAAGUCUUUCAAGUCAUGGGUCACCCAGCACCUCAUAAUUAUGAUAUGACCAAAUUAGAUUUGCCCAAAUUCUUUCCCAAAAGCACAA
Molecule: long non-coding RNA, 539 nt
Filed under: Phoenix dactylifera (date palm)
Lineage: Eukaryota; Viridiplantae; Streptophyta; Magnoliopsida; Arecales; Arecaceae
Description: long non-coding RNA (PDAC_LNC020847)
Source: RNAcentral